AUUGAACGCUGGCGGCAUGCUUUACACAUGCAAGUCGGACGGCAGCGGGGGUGCUUGCACCUGCCGGCGAGUGGCGAACGGGUGAGUAACAUAUUGGAAUGUACCGAGUAGUGGGGGAUAACCAAUCGAAAGAUUGGCUAAUACCGCAUACGUCCUGAGGGGGAAAGCAGGGGAUCUUCGGACCUUGCGCUAUUUGAGCAGCCAAUAUCUGAUUAGCUAGUUGGUGGGGUAAAGGCCCACCAAGGCGACGAUCAGUAGCGGGUCUGAGAGGAUGAUCCGCCACACUGGGACUGAGACACGGCCCAGACUCCUACGGGAGGCAGCAGUGGGGAAUUUUGGACAAUGGGGGCAACCCUGAUCCAGCCAUGCCGCGUGUCUGAAGAAGGCCUUCGGGUCGUAAAGGACUUUUGUUAGGGAAGAAAAGGGAAGUGUUAAUACCACUUUUUGCUGACG
RNAcentral lists this ribosomal RNA (453 nucleotides) under Kingella denitrificans. RNAcentral's name for it is "bacterial SSU rRNA". It matches the Rfam family "Bacterial small subunit ribosomal RNA", at positions 30 to 474 of the family's 1533-position model. Lineage: Bacteria; Pseudomonadati; Pseudomonadota; Betaproteobacteria; Neisseriales; Neisseriaceae. The record is from RNAcentral.